CUUCUUAUGCUGUCUGUAGUGCGUGGUUGUGCUCUUUCUUGCCUGGGUUUCUUUCAGCCACCACAUGCAAUAUAUCUUGCUGAAAUAGAAUCCUGCAAAAGGAGCCUUCUGCCUCUCUUGCUGAGCCAGCUGUGCUGUUAAUUGAAUGUGUUUGCCUCAUGAACCAGUAGCCCCCUAUGAUGGAGCAAUUGCACCAGUGAACAAAGGAAAAACUAUAAAUGUCAUCUACCUGGACCUUUGAUAAGGUCCCGCACAACGUUCUUACAUCUGUAUUGGAGAGAAGCAGUGCACCGGAGCCCUUCACUGACGCCCCAGUGAUCUGUGCAAGAAGUAGACACUUAUUCGCCUCCGGCCUAUAAACUGUGCAACCAACAAUGAAAUGCUUCCUCUUCCUUCUCGACUACAUGCAGGAUCACAUUCUGUCAGUGCCCAAGGGCCAGGAUCCACAGUGGAGUUCUUGCCCCCACACUGCUCCCACACGAAUGAGGUUGGGCCAGAAAAGAGCUUGGCUUUUUUCUGGGCACUGUCAGCACUCAUCAAAAUAACCACACGAUGGCGCUGUCGACUCACAAAACAAGGACACGCACGGAGCCCAGCUCGAAACCACCCCCAGGACACAGCCAAGUCAGAAACAUCCCUGCUCUCAAAUCAACUGUCGGAAGAACAAGAUUUCACUGAUUUCCCCUUCCAAGUGCAUACUUUUCUUUGCACCACACUCAAAGGGCAACGCCAAGUCCUCUGCCCUAACAAACUUUUUCACUCUCGUCGAGUCUGGUAACAAACUUGAAAACAUCUGCCAAAAACAGCUCGCAAAAGUGUCAGUGGAGAAAGCUCUUGGCUGCCUACAAUUUCAACUGCACCCAUCAAACUAUGAACACAUAUCCUGCUAUUGCCACUUUCCUUCUCAGCUCUAGGUACCAUCCUAAGCCUUCAGUCUCACUGAGUCAGGAUCCAAAUGGAAUGGUACCAGAGACUGCUCACACACUAAAGCUACAAAAACUCCAUGGCUUGGCCUCUGCAUUCCCACUGACAGUUCAACAUCUCUAACCCAGAGAACUGCCUAUUGGGAAAAGCCUUUAAAUUCACGUUGACCACUCAAAGUGCCCUCCAAACUUGCUUUCUUUGCCAAAGAGAGGAACUAGAAGCCCAUCUCAAAAGAAAUGGCAUCCCCUCCAAAAUCCAAAACAUCCAGGGACUGAUCUUAUACAAAGGGGUCAGAACACUGUUACUGGGCAUUACCUGCGCGGGGCACUAGAUCUGCUGCACACCAAGACCCAGCACAUCUGUUUACCUUGUCCAAAAGAAGUGUGCUGGCAGAAUUACAAGAAGGUUGCCUCGAGGAAGUGGAAAACACAUGCCAAAUGGAUUCUUUCAGGAGGCAGACCGCCUUCCAAAGAUGGAUACCAACUCCAUGAUUAUACAAAUUGAGUCAGUGCUUCCAAACCAAUGCUAGGACAGAAAGUUGCUGCCUCUCUUGAGCUGCAUGAUGCAGCUUCUUAUCUGCACCUUCAACACUGGGGCUACGUUCUUUCCUUUCCAUGAGAAAGCAUUGCCGUUCUCGUUCAGUAAGUUAGCAAGCGAAAGUUGCAUACCACAUCCAGUACUGACUAUGUCCAACAAUGGCUCCUACACAGAAGGGGCCAGGACAGAAAUGUCUUGCUGGCCUAUAUCUCCCCCAUGGUACCUUAACAUCUGCCCUACCAACAUUGGCACUAUAUAUUUUACAUCCCAAGGAAUGUCACUCCAAGUCACUUGGCCUUGCCUUGCCUCGCCUCCAGUACCAUGCCUAGUUUUCCUAACCUACCCUUGCUUUGCUUGCUUUGCCUAUGUCUGCCUUGCCUAGCUCUACAAACAACUUCCUGGCUUUGCUUUGCUUUGCCUACUGCUCUUUGCCUUGCCUUCCAUGCAGGUAAGGCAAUGCAAAGCAAGUGUAGGCAAUUGUAGGCAAGUCAAGGGAGAUGUUGGAAAGGCUGGUAGCAUGAGGGGAAAGCAAAUGGAGUGGUAAGUGGGAGAAGGCCCAGAAGUCAGAGGCAAGGCUGGGCAUAGGAAGGUAAGUCCAGUAAUGGCUAGGCCAGGCAGAAACAGGAAGGUCUAGACAAUGCAAGACCCUGGAGGAAAGAAGCAGCAAGGUGAAAGGUGGGGCAUGGGCAUGCGACAGAAUGCAACGCAAUAGAGGAUCAGCAGGGCAAGGCAAGGAAACUGUUGGGUGUCCAAAGCAAGGCAAGUGGCAGGUACGUUCAAAGAUUGCUGGUACACAAAAGCGGCCAGGACAGACUGCUCUGUCCGGCCUUGAUCUUGCAUGGGCCAUCUCUAAUCAGCACCUAAAACACUUGGGUUACCUGCUUUCCUUUGUAUGCAAAAGAACUGUCCUUCUGGUCCUGAAGCCCAAGGGUGAAACAUGAAUUUUGUGUCCAAAAUUCAAGACAUGUAAGGAUAGAUGUUAGAACAAAGCUGCCAGGACAGAUAGGUGUGCUUGCACGUGAUCUCCUCUGGGCUUCCUCUCACAUCCUCUUGAAACACUGGACCCUUGAGAAAAAAAAAAAAAAAAAGCCAGUGAAAGCCUUGAGAGUCCUAGGAGGAGCAGUCAGGGCAAUACAAGUUGAAGAAUUUCCACCAAAAGAGAGAUGUUCAGUCUAGCAAGCGCAGGGCCGGCUACGGCUCCGUGGAGGGAUGUUUAGAGAUAGGUAUUUGCUGAGUCAUAGGAAUUGAACCAGGAGUCCUCACUCUGGUCCUCUAGGCCUGCUUAUCUCUCUGUGACCCCAUAGGCUAGUUUCCCUAACCCUUACAAUUGGUCAGUUUUCAAUCCUCCCUAACCCUAUAAAAGAGGCUGUCUUGGCACAUUCUUUUAGAAGAGCAGCUUCAAGACCCUUCGCGAGACCCUCAGAAUAAACCAUCGUGGAACA
Long non-coding RNA from Haemorhous mexicanus (house finch), 2903 nucleotides. RefSeq lists it as uncharacterized. NCBI's taxonomy places the organism in Eukaryota, Metazoa, Chordata, Aves, Passeriformes, Fringillidae. The record is from RefSeq and is a predicted model, not a curated record. The transcript is spliced from 4 exons.